Molecule: ribosomal RNA, 253 nt
Filed under: uncultured bacterium
Lineage: Bacteria
Description: partial 16S ribosomal RNA
Rfam family: Bacterial small subunit ribosomal RNA
Source: RNAcentral
UACGUAGGGUGCAAGCGUUGUUCGGAUUUACUGGGCGUAAAGCGCGCGCAGGUGGGUGUACAAGUCGGAAGUGAAAUCCCAGGGCUCAACCCUGGGGCUGCUCCCGAAACUGUACGCCUAGGGACUGGUAGAGGCUGGUAGAAUUCCGAGUGUAGAGGUGAAAUUCGUAGAUAUUCGGAGGAACACCAGUGGCGAAGGCGGCUCACUGGUCCAUUACUGACGCUGAGGUGCGAAAGCGUGGGGAGCAAACAGG